RNAcentral lists this ribosomal RNA (467 nucleotides) under uncultured bacterium. RNAcentral's name for it is "partial 16S ribosomal RNA". It matches the Rfam family "Bacterial small subunit ribosomal RNA", at positions 28 to 507 of the family's 1533-position model. The record is from RNAcentral.
GACGAACGCUGGCGGCGUGCUUAACACAUGCAAGUCGAACGGAAAGGCCUCUUUCGGGGGGUACUCGAGUGGCGAACGGGUGAGUAACACGUGAGUAACCUGCCCUUGACUUUGGGAUAACUUCAGGAAACUGGGGCUAAUACCGGAUAGGAGCUCCUGCUGCAUGGUGGGGGUUGGAAAGUUUCGGCGGUUGGGGAUGGACUCGCGGCUUAUCAGCUUGUUGGUGGGGUAGUGGCUUACCAAGGCUUUGACGGGUAGCCGGCCUGAGAGGGUGACCGGCCACAUUGGGACUGAGAUGCGGCCCAGACUCCGACGGGAGGCAGCAGUGGGGAAUAUUGCACAAUGGGUGGAAGCCUGAUGCAGCAACGCCGUGUGCGGGAUGACGGCCUUCGGGUUGGAAACCGCUUUCGCUCAUGACGAAGCUUUGUGUGACGGUAGUGGGUAAAGAAGCACCGGCUAACUACGUG